Molecule: ribosomal RNA, 254 nt
Filed under: uncultured bacterium
Lineage: Bacteria
Description: partial 16S ribosomal RNA
Rfam family: Bacterial small subunit ribosomal RNA
Source: RNAcentral
GACGUAGGGCGCGAGCGUUGUCCGGAUUUAUUGGGCGUAAAGAGCUCGUAGGCGGCUUGUCGCGUCGACCGUGAAAACUUGGGGCUCAACCCCAAGCCUGCGGUCGAUACGGGCAGGCUCGAGUUCGGUAGGGGAGACUGGAAUUCCUGGUGUAGCGGUGAAAUGCGCAGAUAUCAGGAGGAACACCGGUGGCGAAGGCGGGUCUCUGGGGCCGAUACUGACGCUGAGGAGCGAAAGCGUGGGGAGCGAACAGG